AUUUAUUUAGUAUAAAAAGUAUAUUAAGCUUCCAACUUAAAAGUUUCUAAAGAAAAUAAAUA
RNAcentral lists this transfer RNA (62 nucleotides) under Opamata lipcowa. Its description in RNAcentral is "tRNA-Gly". Lineage: Eukaryota; Metazoa; Arthropoda; Insecta; Hemiptera; Cicadellidae. The record is from RNAcentral.